RNAcentral lists this long non-coding RNA (1678 nucleotides) under Vulpes vulpes (red fox). RNAcentral describes it as "lncRNA (ENSVVUG00000018997.1)". The record is from RNAcentral. Lineage: Eukaryota; Metazoa; Chordata; Mammalia; Carnivora; Canidae.
GGAUUUCAACAUGUGUAUUUUGUUGGGGGUGGGGGGAUAGGGGGACACAACAUCUAGUAUAUAGCAUAGCCUCAUGUGAACAGCAUAGCUGGAGAAUAAGGUAUAUUGAGAAAGAGAGGACAGAUGUGAAGGGAUCUGCUUAGGAAGGAUCUCGAGUGUCAUGAUUUUAUCUUUUAGGUAAUGGUGAGUUAUUCAAAGUUUCUUAGGAAAGAAGGGUAAGAUGUUACCAGAGGAGUAGAAUUAAUAGACAUUUCCAUAGAAUUAAAUAAGGUGAUUAAGUAGAAAAGGAAAUAAGGGGGAAAUUUUCUGCAGAUUUGUAGAAAUUCUCUUAGACUGUCUUCAACUCAGUUACAUGACUACUCCACUCGGCAAUUGUUCUUGUCUUACUGAGGUGCCCUACUAUGACAAACUAAGCAUGUUCCUUUACUCCCUAGUCUACUUGUUACUUGGAAUCUAAAAGUCACAGGCUCUAGAAGAUACUCAAUGCACACAUUUCCUGUUAGUAAACGGGAUCCACUUUGUUUAUCCACGAGCAAGAUUUCCACUUAAGUAUUUUAUAAAUGAGAAGUAUUUGUUAGAAUAGGAGUGGGGUUCAUUGUUGGAGAACAUUGGAAUCCUUUUUCAAUGACCGUGAAUAGGUCAGGAAGAUUUUGGUGGCAAAUAAUUGAAAACCUCACACAACUAGCUUAAAUGGUAAGGAAUUUUAAUGAUACUUGUAACUGGAAGGGUCAGGAGGAAGGCUGGGUACUGCCCUGACUUAAUCCAGUGGCUCUGGACCCAUGUAUCUGGUUCCUCUUGGCUCUGCUUUCUUCUCAGGCCUGUAGUGACACUGCUCCGGAUUUCACCUCAAUGCCUAACAUUAUCCAGAAGAGAAAGAAUCUAUUCAGGAGGAGAAACAACUUUUCUAGAAGUCUCCUGCAAUGAUCUGCCCACUAGAAAGGUCCAAUUUUCAAGCUUUUUCUCUGGGAAAUGAAAUACAAAGAACCUUGUGGACCAUCUAUAGCCCUCACAUGCCAUGAGGCUGGAGAGAAUGGAGGGAAAGCAAGAGGACCUUGGCCUGACCCAGUAAGGAGCUGGGUGGUUUUGUAAUUCCAUGGGAUUCACCAUGCUCUUUCCCAGGCUGGGCUCCUGAAUUACUUGCUCUUAUACUUUUUUUUUUUCUUACGAUUUUAUUUAGUUGAGAGAGUGGGAGGGAGAAGGAGAGAGAUUUUGAAGCAGACUCCAAGCUGAGCACAGAGCUGAACGUGGGGGUUCAGUGCCAUGACUGCAAGACCGUUCCUGAUCUGAGCCAAAACCAAGAUCGGCCGCUCAACUGACUGAGCCACUCAGAUGCCCUCUUAUACUUUAUUUUCAAAUUGACCAACUUCCUUCUCAGUGGAAAAAUAGAAUAUUUUUUCCUUAAUAUAUGGGUCUUCUUUGCUUUCCCUCCUGAGUUCAAGAACUUGGCUAGUGCAAAGGUUUUUCUGGAGUAGGCUUUAAACACCAGAAUUGCUGCAGUCCUGCUGGAUACAAUGGAUUUCUCCAUUUGGCAGGACCCAAGUGGGGCAGCCCAGAUCCACCUGGAUGUUAGAAGCUGCAGGACUGAGAGGCCAGGGUCACCUGUCCACUGGACCCCUUGGCAGGAUUUUCAAAGCACAAGGUUUCUUUGUUUCUUGUCUAUCUCCCCACAAGGGUAAAG